AUACGGAGGGUGCAAGCGUUACUCGGAAUCACUGGGCGUAAAGCGCGCGCAGGCGGCUAUUUAAGUUGGAUGUGAAAGCCUACGGCUCAACCGUAGAACUGCAUCCAAAACUAUUUAGCUAGAGUGUGGGAGAGGAAGAUGGAAUUAGUUGUGUAGGGGUAAAAUCCGUAGAGAUAACUAGGAAUACCAAAAGCGUAGGCAAUCUUCUGGAACACUACUGACGCUGAGGCGCGAAAGCGUGGGGAGCAAACGGGAUUAGAAACCCCAGUAGUCC
Molecule: ribosomal RNA, 274 nt
Filed under: uncultured bacterium
Lineage: Bacteria
Description: partial 16S ribosomal RNA
Rfam family: Bacterial small subunit ribosomal RNA
Source: RNAcentral